This 468-nucleotide ribosomal RNA is filed under the name uncultured bacterium. RNAcentral's name for it is "partial 16S ribosomal RNA". It matches the Rfam family "Bacterial small subunit ribosomal RNA", at positions 28 to 507 of the family's 1533-position model. The record is from RNAcentral.
GACGAACGCUGGCGGCGUGCUUAACACAUGCAAGUCGAACGGAAAGGCCCUGCUUUUGUGGGGUGCUCGAGUGGCGAACGGGUGAGUAACACGUGAGUAACCUGCCCUUGACUUUGGGAUAACUUCAGGAAACUGGGGCUAAUACCGGAUAGGAGCUCCUGCUGCAUGGUGGGGGUUGGAAAGUUUCGGCGGUUGGGGAUGGACUCGCGGCUUAUCAGCUUGUUGGUGGGGUAGUGGCUUACCAAGGCUUUGACGGGUAGCCGGCCUGAGAGGGUGACCGGCCACAUUGGGACUGAGAUACGGCCCAGACUACUACGGGAGGCAGCAGUGGGGAAUAUUGCACAAUGGGCGGAAGCCUGAUGCAGCAACGCCGCGUGCGGGAUGAAGGCCUUCGGGUUGUAAACCGCUUUCGCCUGUGACGAAGCGUGAGUGACGGUAAUGGGUAAAGAAGCACCGGCUAACUACGUG